CAUGCAACAGAAGUGGACCAAGCCCACGAGGGCUGGAUCCGAGGUGGAGUGGACAGAAGACCUGGCACUGUAAGGAGUAACCCUGCCCUGACGCCAUGCUCCAGAGCAGAGAGGAUCAAACCAUUCCAGCACAGUCCUUGCAGGAAUCAGCUCUGUUUUUAGUAGCCUUUGGCGUGAGCCCCUAUUGUACGUCAGGCCCUGGCAUGGGUCUUAGGGAUACAGACUUGACCAAGAUACAGCCCCCACCCCUGGGUCAAUGACAAGCUUGAGGCAGAGACAGGUGUACAUAAAGAAGAUGGUACAACCGCUCCAGUUGAGGUUUGUAUAAUAUGCCAUCAGAGUGCCUAGAUUGGGGGGGAGAUUAAUUCCCAUGAGGGAAUAAGGAUCAGAGUAGGCUUCAUGGAGGAGAUGACUUUUAAACCACACUUUAGAGCAAGAGUAGGAUUUCAUCAGAGUGUGAAAGCAUUCUCGGCAGAGGGAAGAGCUGGAGCAAAUGAAAGAGGGUGGUUUGCAACUGAGAAACUGGCAAGACAGGAGGAGCAGGACCAGGGAGGAUUUGAAUGCAUAGCUGAGAAGCAUGGUUUCCACUCAGGCCCUGUCCCUUUCUCUUGGGACGAGAGAGAAUUUGGAGGCCAGGAGAAUCUGAUUGGAGCAUUUGUGCCAUUUUAUUUAUGUACACAGCUCUCUGCCUCUGGCCUGUGAUCCACUCAAGUGUGGGUUCAGCUUGCUAAUCUUCCCCUUCCUGCCCCAUCUCCUCUUGUCCCACAGGGAUCUGGGCCCCCAGAGCCGGGAGCUGACCCUCAAAGUGCUGAGGAGCAGCAGCUGUGGAGACAGUGAGUGAGGGGUGGGAGGGGCACCCCUGGGUGGGUGCAGAGUGGGGUCUGGCCAUGGGCCCAGCUCACAGUGCCAUCCCUUUCCCCAGCUGAACUCCUAGGCCAGGCCACACUGCCUGUGGGCUCUCCCUCCAGACCACUGUCUCGAAGGCAGGUGUGCCCACUCACCCCAGGGCCAGGGAAAGCCCUGGGACCAGCAGCCACCAUGGCAGUGGAGCUUCAGUACGAGGAAGGCUCUCCCCGGAACCUGGGUACUCCCACCUCCUCCACUCCACGCCCCAGCAUCACACCUACCAAGAAGAUUGAGCUUGACCGGACCAUCAUGCCCGAUGGCACCAUUGUCACCACAGUCACCACCGUCCAGUCCCGGCCCCGUAUAGACGGCAAAUUAGGUAAAGAGAAGGAGCCUGGGAGCCCAGCUCUAGCCAGGGGUCCGGAACUGCAGACCCAAGGCAGGACAGUGAAAGAGGAGAGAAAGCCUUAAUUCCAACUCCCCCUGUUUUCAGACAUUCCAUUCCAGUCCUACCACAUCUUCCUCCCAAUCUUUGUCUCUUUCAAACUUUCCCUUACCUCCUGCCAUUUCCCCAGCAAUUCCUCUCACUCUGCCACCCUUCUGGAUCCUCCUGCCCCUCCUCACACAGGACUGUUGCACUCCCACCUUCCAGCUUCCCCCCUGGCUUUUCACAGGCGUCCUUAGCCCCAGCUGACUAUAAUUGUCCAUCCUGCUACCCUCAGCCCUCCAGCACCCCCUGGGGUCCUCCAACAAACCCAGAGGCCUCUGUGGCAUUUCUACCCCACUCAGUGGGCCC
Molecule: small RNA, 1642 nt
Filed under: Pongo abelii (Sumatran orangutan)
Lineage: Eukaryota; Metazoa; Chordata; Mammalia; Primates; Hominidae
Description: retained intron
Source: RNAcentral